This 866-nucleotide ribosomal RNA is filed under the name Bacillus licheniformis. Its description in RNAcentral is "bacterial SSU rRNA". It matches the Rfam family "Bacterial small subunit ribosomal RNA", at positions 62 to 873 of the family's 1533-position model. The record is from RNAcentral. Lineage: Bacteria; Bacillati; Bacillota; Bacilli; Caryophanales; Bacillaceae.
CCGAGCAGGACCGACGCGGAGCUUGCUCCCUUAGAGUACAUGCGGCGGACGGGUGAGUAACACGUGGGUAACCUGCCUGUAAGACUGGGAUAACUCCGGGAAACCGGGGCUAAUACCGGAUGCUUGAUUGAACCGCAUGGUUCAAUCAUAAAAGGUGGCUUUCAGCUACCACUUACAGAUGGACCCGCGGCGCAUUAGCUAGUUGGUGAGGUAACGGCUCACCAAGGCGACGAUGCGUAGCCGACCUGAGAGGGUGAUCGGCCACACUGGGACUGAGACACGGCCCAGACUCCUACGGGAGGCAGCAGUAGGGAAUCUUCCGCAAUGGACGAAAGUCUGACGGAGCAACGCCGCGUGAGUGAUGAAGGUUUUCGGAUCGUAAAACUCUGUUGUUAGGGAAGAACAAGUACCGUUCGAAUAGGGCGGUACCUUGACGGUACCUAACCAGAAAGCCACGGCUAACUACGUGCCAGCAGCCGCGGUAAUACGUAGGUGGCAAGCGUUGUCCGGAAUUAUUGGGCGUAAAGCGCGCGCAGGCGGUUUCUUAAGUCUGAUGUGAAAGCCCCCGGCUCAACCGGGGAGGGUCAUUGGAAACUGGGGAACUUGAGUGCAGAAGAGGAGAGUGGAAUUCCACGUGUAGCGGUGAAAUGCGUAGAGAUGUGGAGGAACACCAGUGGCGAAGGCCACUCUCUGGUCUGUAACUGACGCUGAAGCGCGAAAGCGUGGGGAGCGAACAGGAUUAAAUACCCUGGUACUCCACGCCGUAAACGAUGAGUGCUAAGUGUGAAAGGGUUUCCCCCCUUUAUGGCUGCAGCAAACGCGUUAUUCACUCCGCCUCCCGGGGAAGGUCGCGGGGAUUAAAGAUC